AGAACUUUAAGCCUCUUCUCUAUUUGUAAGAGCCAUUGCUCAACUAUUGUUGGAGAAAGUCCUCCUCAGAAGGCAGGUAGAUUCAAUCCUAUAAACUACUUAAUCAGCUUCCAUUAUUUGGCUCAGCUAGCUACGACGCAUUUACAUAUGCAUGAUUCUGAUUGCCACUAUGGUCACCAUUAGGAUUAUGGGCCAUGUU
This 199-nucleotide long non-coding RNA is filed under the name Carica papaya (papaya). RNAcentral's name for it is "long non-coding RNA (CPAP_LNC011510)". The record is from RNAcentral. Lineage: Eukaryota; Viridiplantae; Streptophyta; Magnoliopsida; Brassicales; Caricaceae.